GCGGUGCGUCUGUGGGCGGGCGCGGUGGGCGCGCGCGUGGAGGCGGCGCCGCAGUGCUACAUCUGCUACUGCCGGCUGCACGCCGCGUCGGGCCGCCUGCCGCGCGUGCCGUGCCACCAGUGCAAGAACAAGUUCCACAACGUGUGCCUGCGCAAGUGGUUCGCCACGAGCAACAAAUCCAACUGCCCGCUAUGCAGGGCGGCGUUCUGAUGACCUGGACCCCGGCCGCCGAGCGAGACGUCGCAUUGUGUGACUACUCGUCUGUGUAUAUAUCCUUAUAUUCUUUUGCCACUUAUAAUCAAUUAAACGACGAAAAUAAAUUUGAAAUAAACCAAA
Spodoptera litura is the source of this 336-nucleotide long non-coding RNA. RefSeq lists it as uncharacterized. The record is from RefSeq and is a predicted model, not a curated record. NCBI's taxonomy places the organism in Eukaryota, Metazoa, Arthropoda, Insecta, Lepidoptera, Noctuidae.